This is a long non-coding RNA of Oreochromis niloticus (Nile tilapia), 2437 nucleotides long. RefSeq lists it as uncharacterized. The transcript is spliced from 2 exons. NCBI's taxonomy places the organism in Eukaryota, Metazoa, Chordata, Actinopteri, Cichliformes, Cichlidae. The record is from RefSeq and is a predicted model, not a curated record.
GUGUGUUUGAGAUAACCUCACAAGUGUCACAGAUGACACAUUUGGCGUUUUUUUGCUGGUUUGUCGGUAGCAGCUCCUGAAACGCAAGACUGCCACACAUCUGUUCGACCAAAUCCAGUUAAUCUGGAACACCGGCACUCACUCGAUGGGAGUCAGCUCUUCUGAUUCAGUACAAAGCAUCGGCUCUUAGCGUUUAUCUUUUGAGAAAUGUAGAAUAAAAGAAACGUCUUUAUUUCCAAAAACUUGCCCGGAGUGUCCUGGCUGAGAAGAAGACAAGAUGAAGCUCUGAAGAGCAAGCCCACACAGGUGGAGAGCAGGAGUUUUCACAGGUGGAGGAGCUGAGUAUGGCUGACUCUCCCUCUGAACCUGUGGCACUCCGUCUAUUGGAGGAGUGGCUGGGGUGCUGAUGAUGGGUUUCAGGUGUCGAUGGUUCUUCUGCAGACUAUCUCCGUCUAGACAAGGUAUGAUUGUGGAGAGUCGCACUUUUGUGUGACCGUCGACUUUGCAGCGUGGAUGGCCAUCGUGAAUGCGCUCCAAAUCUCAGUCCUAAGCUGUUGUAGUAAAACUAUUCUGUCAUUAUAUAGCACCAGAACAUUUGACACAAUAAGAGAAUGUCUAUUAGUGUAAUAUUGCUUCACUUUCUCUUGCACUUUAGUUGUGUGUUUCAGCCAACCUGCCUGCACAAAGGUUUGCACUAUUUGAAGAGUGGCAUAAUGCAGUGUUUGCUGUUUGAUUAGAUCCAACUUGGUUUUAUUAGUCCUUUAUUUAUCCAGGUAAAAUCUCAUUGAGAUUAAAAUUCUCAUUUCCAAGAGAGACCUGGCAUCAUGGCAACAAAUGUCAAAAUACACGUACCACCUAAGUAUAUAACAUUUAAAACAAAUAUAAUAUCCCGUAGUAGUCGAAAUGAGCCAAGAGCAUUGUGUUGCAUCUUCAUAAGCUUCAAUUUCCUCCAGCGAUUCUGCUGUCUCAUGAGUUGUAGUUGCAGAGACCCUUUCACACCACCCAGAAGCGGCUACAAGUUCCUUCCCUGGUACGUAGACAGCCGUGGGGUUGUACCGCAUCAUUCUCAACAAAAGUCUCUGGCACUUCAGUGGCACUGAGUGAAGAUCCUUGCUGUUUAUAAGAGGUAUUAGUCACUUGUGGUCACUUUAUAUCACAUAUAUCAGUAUAUUGACAGGAUAGACCGCUACUCCCUCACGUCCUUUCAAGAGUUCUGUCCUCUCGCGCUGGAAGAUUUCUGGGGCGCUGGUAAUACCAAAUGUUAGCCUGCUGAAGUAGUAUCUGUCAAAUGGGGUUAUAAAAGUAGUCAGUUUGGUGCUGUCUACAUCAAGUGGUAUUUGCCAGAACCUGCUUGCGGCAUUUAACAGAAAAAAAUACUUUGACACCUGCAAGUUUAGACAAAAUGUCAUCAAAAGUUGGUAAAACAUACUUUUCUCUUUAUGGUGCCUUAUUCAGCUCUUACAAAUCAACAUGGAUUCUGAUCUGUUUCUUGUUUCCAUCAGAAAUUUAUCAGAGCACAUCACUCAGUUGGCUCUGGAAUUGUUGAAUCACACCACAGUUUGCCAUAUGAUCCAGUUCUUUCUUCACUUUUGGUAACAUGGAUACUGACAUUAUCCUUGCAGUCAUCACACUGUAAGGAAGUGCACGCUCUCUGAGCGUGAUCCUGAUGGGUUUGAUUUCAACCUCCCCUACAUCCCGAGGGAAAGACUCACUGAUUUGUUCUGAAGCUCCUAUUUCUUCCAUGAGUUUCAUCAGGCCCAUGGUAGCUGCAACAUUGUGACUUAAGAGGUGAAUGCCUUGUGAAGCUUUAUUCAUGUUGACUUUAAACCUCAUUCUUUUCUCCUUCCUCAUUGUGGUGGCUAUAAAAUAAACUACCUACACAGUUCAGUUUGCCUCCAGGGCUGUAUAACUGCUUCACUGGUUUUUUAUUUCUUAGUUUUGGCUUACAGGCAAGUUUAUCAGAUGUUGUCUGUUGGUAUAACACUAUCAACCUCUGAGUCAAUCUUAAAGAUUAUUUGAGGACCUUGUAUUAGUAGUUUUACAGUCCAUCCCUUUGUAAAAUCUUCCACAUCUGUGAUUCCUCGUAGAAAGUAGGUUGCAUUGCUUUCACUGUCUUGUGUGGUGCAAAAACUUCAUUGACCACACAGGAGCGACAAGCAAACGCAAAAUGGCCCAGCUUUUUACAGCUCCUACAUUUCACAUUUCUGGCCUGACGUUUAUCCUUCUUUGGAUGGACUCAACCAUAUCUUGUACAUUUGUGACACUGGCAGUGUCAUCAGGAGGCAUGAAGUGAACUUCCACAGUUACGCUGAUGACACUCAGCUGUACAUCUCCGUGUCUCCUGAUGACACCAGACCAAUGGAUGCCCUUUUUAACUGUAUUCUAGAUAUAAAAUCUUCGAUGGCAGAAAACUUUUUACAGCUUAACCAGGACAAAA